UACGGAGGGUGCAAGCGUUAUCCGGAUUCACUGGGUUUAAAGGGUGUGUAGGCGGGUAUUUAAGUCAGUGGUGAAAUCUCCGAGCUCAACUCGGAAACUGCCAUUGAUACUAUUUAUCUUGAAUAUUGUUGAGGUAGGCGGAAUAUGUCAUGUAGCGGUGAAAUGCUUAGAUAUGACAUAGAACACCGAUUGCGAAGGCAGCUUGCUAAACAAUUAUUGACGCUGAGGCACGAAAGCGUGGGGAUCAAACAGGAUUAGAAACCCC
Molecule: ribosomal RNA, 265 nt
Filed under: uncultured bacterium
Lineage: Bacteria
Description: partial 16S ribosomal RNA
Rfam family: Bacterial small subunit ribosomal RNA
Source: RNAcentral